Molecule: small RNA, 136 nt
Filed under: Arabidopsis thaliana (thale cress)
Lineage: Eukaryota; Viridiplantae; Streptophyta; Magnoliopsida; Brassicales; Brassicaceae
Description: ATSL232750
Source: RNAcentral
AGAGAUGUUGAGAAAUAGAAGCAACAAUGUAAUAUGUGCAUCAGCUAGUAAGAAUAUAUUCAAGUUAGUUUGGGGUGAAUGACUUCUAUUCUAGUGUGUGUCCCUUUGACCUUUGUCUAGAGAGAGAGAGAGAGAU